CACGUAGGGCGCAAGCGUUGUCCGGAAUUACUGGGCGUAAAGAGCUCGUAGGUGGUUUGUCGCGUUGUUCGUGAAAACUCACAACUCAAUUGUGGGCGUGCGGGCGAUACGGGCAGACUGGAGUACUGCAGGGGAGACUGGAAUUCCUGGUGUAGCGGUGGAAUGCGCAGAUAUCAGGAGGAACACCGGUGGCGAAGGCGGGUCUCUGGGCAGUAACUGACGCUGAGGAGCGAAAGCGUGGGGAGCGAACAGG
RNAcentral lists this ribosomal RNA (253 nucleotides) under uncultured bacterium. RNAcentral describes it as "partial 16S ribosomal RNA". It matches the Rfam family "Bacterial small subunit ribosomal RNA", at positions 524 to 776 of the family's 1533-position model. The record is from RNAcentral.